UAAGCAUAUCAAUAAGCGGAGGAAAAGAAACCAACAGGGAUUGCCUUAGUAACGGCGAGUGAAGCGGCAAUAGCUCAAAUUUGAAAGCUGGCCCCUUCGGGGUCCGCGUUGUAAUUUGUAGAGGAUGAUUCGGCGAGGGCUCCCGUCUAAGUCCCUUGGAACAGGGCGUCAUAGAGGGUGAGAAUCCCGUAUGUGAUGGGCUGCCUUAGCCAUGUGAAUCUCCUUCGACGAGUCGAGUUGUUUGGGAAUGCAGCUCUAAAUGGGAGGUAAAUUUCUUCUAAAGCUAAAUACCGGCCAGAGACCGAUAGCGCACAAGUAGAGUGAUCGAAAGAUGAAAAGCACUUUGGAAAGAGAGUUAAAAAGUACGUGAAAUUGUUGAAAGGGAAGCGCUUGCAGCCAGACUUGUCCGCAGUUGCUCAGCUUGUCUCCUGACAGGCGUACUCUUCUGCGGCCAGGCCAGCAUCAGUUCGGGCGGUCGGAUAAAGGCCCGGGGAAUGUAGCUCCUCUCGGGGAGUGUUAUAGCCCCGGGUGCAAUGCGGCCAGCCUGGACUGAGGAUCUCGCUUCGGCUAGGAUGCUGGCGUAAUGGCUGUAAGCGGCCCGUCUUGAAACACGGACCAAGGAGUCUAACAUCUAUGCGAGUGUUUGGGUGUCAAACCCAUGCGCGUAAUGAAAGUGAACGGAGGUGGGAACCCUCACGGGUGCACCAUCGACCGAUCCUGAUGUCUUCGGAUGGAUUUGAGUAAGAGCAUAGCUGUUGGGACCCGAAAGAUGGUGAACUAUGCCUGAAUAGGGUGAAGCCAGAGGAAACUCUGGUGGAGGCUCGCAGCGGUUCUGACGUGCAAAUCGAUCGUCAAAUUUGGGUAUAGGGGCGAAAGACUAAUCGAACCAUCUAGUAGCUGGUUCCUGCCGAAGU
Molecule: ribosomal RNA, 914 nt
Filed under: Neofusicoccum mangiferae
Lineage: Eukaryota; Fungi; Ascomycota; Dothideomycetes; Botryosphaeriales; Botryosphaeriaceae
Description: eukaryotic LSU rRNA
Rfam family: Eukaryotic large subunit ribosomal RNA
Source: RNAcentral